This 378-nucleotide ribosomal RNA is filed under the name Chiridota heheva. RNAcentral describes it as "partial small subunit ribosomal RNA". The record is from RNAcentral. Lineage: Eukaryota; Metazoa; Echinodermata; Holothuroidea; Apodida; Chiridotidae.
CGGGCGGUUUGUGCACGUUCCAUUUCUAUAUUCAUUUUUUUCUUCUUUGUAAAAAUUACUACCAAAUCCUCCUUUUUAGGUGUAUAUCAACACUUUUCUGCUUUUGUGGAAACCUUUGUAGUUCAUAUCUGCCAGCCUAUAAGCUGCACCUUGACCUGAAGUCAUGUGUUCUUCACUGUUUGGCUAACACUCUCGAGAGGUUAACUGACGACGGAGGUAUACAGGCUGAUUUGCUAAGGCUGGUAAGGUUCCUCGCGGAUUAUCGUUUAUAGUACAAACUCCUCUGGUUAGGGGUGGAAUGCCGCCAAGUUCUUUGGGUUUUAGUUACAUUGUUGUAUAAACCGUAGUCCCCGAUGUUGCAUGAAAUUAUAGUGGGGU